RNAcentral lists this signal recognition particle RNA (216 nucleotides) under Oscillospiraceae bacterium. RNAcentral describes it as "partial signal recognition particle sRNA large type". It matches the Rfam family "Bacterial large signal recognition particle RNA", at positions 1 to 215 of the family's 256-position model. From Rfam's summary of the family: The signal recognition particle (SRP) is a universally conserved ribonucleoprotein involved in the co-translational targeting of proteins to membranes. Archaeal SRP consists of a 7S RNA and homologues of the eukaryotic SRP19 and SRP54 proteins. In most bacteria, the SRP consists of a 4.5S RNA and the Ffh protein (a homologue of the eukaryotic SRP54 protein). Lineage: Bacteria; Bacillati; Bacillota; Clostridia; Eubacteriales; Oscillospiraceae. The record is from RNAcentral.
CCAUACCAGCCGGGGUAGUAGCGGAGCCUUGUACCUGCAAUCCGCUUAGCAGGGGUGGUAUCCCAUUGUGAGAGCAAGUGUUGUACUCAGCGCCUUUGUUUCCUGUGUUGAGGGAUGGGUCUUGUGCAAUUUGCAGCUGUGAACCAUGUCAGGUGGGGAACCAAGCAGCAUUAAGCAGUGUCGCAGAUGUGCCACGAGGUUGCCUGUUCUGAGCAG